UUUUGAAAAUUAAAUCUCGCCUUUAGAGUAAAAAAAAACUCUAUUUUUUUAGUUAUGUAGUCUGUAAUAUGAGGAAUUAGAUGUCACAAGCUAAAGUGGGGCCGCAUGGAAUGCACGCGAGAGAUGCAAGAGAGAGAAAAAAAUAAAAUCGGGAAAAUCUAAAUCGUUGAGAGAUUAUAAUCCAACAGCUGAGAAAUAGGAUAAAUUAUCAAACUAGAGAAACUUUGGCAGCUUUGGAUGCUGAGAAUGAGUAAAUGUCAAUGAAUGAGAAGGCAAACAAUUAAGGAGAAGCAACACAAAGUGAAACACAAUCUACUCAAGCAGCUACUACGGUAUUUAACUCUAAUAAACGCUUAAAGUUUGAUGUUCGGAAAGAGUUUAGACCCAUGUUAGAAGUUGUUUAGAUUUUUUCACUACUUUUGUAUUUCUGUUUUAAAUUAGAAUCUUUGAUGAAAUUCUGUUUUGUAUAAUCUUUUAAA
This 479-nucleotide small RNA is filed under the name Arabidopsis thaliana (thale cress). Its description in RNAcentral is "ATSL018820". The record is from RNAcentral. Lineage: Eukaryota; Viridiplantae; Streptophyta; Magnoliopsida; Brassicales; Brassicaceae.